ACAGUGUUGGGGGCAAGAUAUUUUUGGCUGCAAGGAACUCUAGUUAGCUUAGCUGGACUUUUUAUUUGCUUGAAGGAACUGCAUUUGGAUUUGCAUGAAUUUGACUAGAAGACAUGACAACAGCAAAUGGUGGGGCAGGGACUGAGGAGCACAAGAGAAAAACCAAUGAUCCUUUUCUCAAGUCCCCUGGGCACCAAAAUAUGCCCAAAUCACCUAGAUUGUGCACACCUAUAAGGAAGGAAUGGCCAGAGAGUUUGCCAAAUGACAAUACAAUUGGUAAUGAGGAUAAUGGAUUGAAUAGAUAUGUUACUUCCUUAGCUGGAUCUGGACCUCCUGGUACUAAUUUUUGUUCCACAAUUGAUUCUGAACACAUUGUUGAAGAAUUACCUGUUAGGAAUUAUAAGAAUCAGAAUAUAGAUGUAGUUAACCACCCGCAUAAUUCAAGACAGCCUCUGAGGAAUCAAUUGGCUAUUGAGUCUAAGUAUAAUAGCUUGAGUAGAGAAAUUGUACCCAAGGUUGAAUUACAGAUACCACUCAAAUUAAGCAAAGGACUAAAGGGAAUUGAUUCCGAAAUUUGGGGCCUGAAAUCUCUGCCACUGAAAGUGUCUGCAGAUAUAAGCAAUAGGAAUAAGACUAUCACCUCAAGCAAUGCACAUCUGAAUAGCAGUAAAACGCAUAAUACUUUGUCUGCAUAUAAUUGUCCUCAAUUGGUUGCAGAGCAAACAGUGAAGGGAAAGGGUGUUAUUUGCAAAGAUUUAGACAAAAACUUUGGUCUUGGAGGAGUGCUUAUGAGCCAAGAGGAUGAGAAACCUGCUUUUGCAACUAAGCUUCAACAUGACACGCUGCUGAGACCAAAUGUGGUUGAUAAUAACCCUUCCUUAAAAGAAACAGCCGUGAUGUGCGCAGAAUCUUCUAAUGAUGCACUCAACUUAAGAGAGUGGAUUAAGUCUGAAGAUCAUAUAAUGAAGAAAUCAGUAAGGCUACAAAUAUUUAAGCAGAUCUUGGAAAUGGUUGAUUUUGCACACUCCCAAGGAAAUGUCUUGAAAGAUUUGAAACCAUCUUGUUUCUCUUUACUGCCUUCAAGUAAAAUUAAAUAUAUUGGUUCAUAUGGCCACCGAGAAUUAGAUAAUGAAGUCAUGAAGCGCAAUGUGACUUGGAAAAGGCCUCUGGAACAGGAUAUCGGUGCUUGCCAAAGUUUGAGUACAAAGCAGCAAAAGCUCUGUGAGGAGACAGGAUCUUUUAGGCAGCAGCAUCACUUCACCUGUAUUCAUGGCUCCAGGACAAUGGUGAAUCAAACUGACUCUGACACAAAUGGAUCCAUGGAAUCAAGGAACAAAGAAAGUUUGUACCAAAAUGAUUCUAGUCAUCAAUGCACUUACACUGAUGAAAAGCAGUAUAUGUCUGUAACCAUUCAGUUAGAAGAUAAAUGGUAUUGUAGUCCAGAAGUGCUAAAUGGUGGACCUUGCACAUUUUCAUCAAAUAUUUAUAGCCUUGGAGUUCUUCUUUUUGAGUUGCUGUGCAACAUUGAAUCAUGGGAGGCACAUUCAACUAUGAUGUUGGAUUUGUCUUGUAGAAUCUUACCACCAAAAUUUCUAUCAGAAAACCCAAAGGAAGCUGGUUUUUGUCUUUGGCUUCUGCAUCCUGAGCCAUCUUCUCGCCCCAUCACCAGGAUGAUUUUAGAAUCUGAAUUCAUAUGCGAAUCAGAGGAAUCAAGUUCUGGAGAAGAUGUUGUAGUAUCUGAUGAUGAUGAGACUGAAACAGAGCAAUUAAUACACUUUCUAAUUUCACUCAAAGAAGAAAAGAAAAAACAGGCAGCCAAGUUGGAAGAACAGCUAAAUUGCUUGAAUGAAGAUAUUAAGGGGGUUGAAAGAAGUUAUUCAUUUGGAAUAGAUUCAGUAUUUCACAUAGCACAAAUGAACAAUCCUGAAUUGAGAGGAAAUAGUUUACAUUUUCAAGACUCUUCCAUCUCAGAUAUUAAUACAUCUAUUCCACGAUCAUUUGUUGAUGAAGAAAGAUUCAUGAGUAAUAUAAAUCAAUUAGAGAAUUCUUACUUUUCGACAAGAUUCAAAGUCCUUGCAAAAGAGGCAUCAGCUGUUUUAAACAAUGAUAAAAAUGUGGUGGAAAGUAGAUGGAGGUUGUCUCAUGUAGAGAAUGUUAAUAAGGAGCCUAGAGGAAUUCAGAAUUCUGUUGGUUGCCUGGGAUCCUUCUUUGAAGGUUUAUGGAAUUUUGCUCGUUACAGCAAGUUUGAAGAGUGUGGCACAUUAAGAAACAGAGAUCUUCUUAGUUCUGCUAAUGUAAUGUGUGCUUUAAGUUUUGAUCGGGACGAGGAUCACAUUGCAGCAGGUGGAGUUUCAAAGAAAAUAAAGAUUUUCGAUCUCAACUCUAUUUCAAGUGAUUCUAUUGAUAUCCAGUACCCAGUAGUUGAGAUGUCAAAUAAAUCAAAGCUUAGCUGUGUUUGCUGGAACAGUUAUAUAAAAAAUCAUCUGGCUUCUACUGAUUAUGAUGGUGUAGUUCAGAUGUGGGACGCAGACACUGGUCAGCCAUUGUCUCAAUACAUGGAGCACCAAAAGAGAGCUUGGUCUGUUCACUUUUCUCUGGCAGACCCAAAAAUGUUUGCUAGUGGAAGUGAUGACUGCUCUGUCAAACUGUGGAAUAUCAGCGAGAGAAACUCUAUGGGAACCAUCUGGAACCCUGCCAAUAUAUGCUGUGUUCAGUUCUCUGCUUACUCAACAAAUCUUUUAUUUUUCGGAUCAGCUGAUUACAAAGUAUAUGGUUAUGAUCUUCGUCACACAAGAAUCCCUUGGUGCACAUUAUCUGGUCAUGGUAAAGCUGUUAGCUAUGUAAAAUUUAUAGAUGCUGAAACAGUUGUCUCUGCUUCCACUGACAACUCUUUGAAGCUUUGGGACCUGAAUAAGACCAGCUCUUCGGCGUUGUCAUCUGAUGCUUGUGUCUUAACCUUUAAAGGUCAUAGUAAUGAAAAGAAUUUCGUGGGAUUAUCUGUUUUGGAUGGAUACAUUGCAUGUGGUUCAGAAUCUAAUGAGGUAUACUGUUAUCACAAAUCUCUGCCAGUGCCGAUCGCUACUCAUAAAUUUGAGUCAAUUGAUUCCAUUUAUGGUCAUCCAAAUAGUGGUGAUAAUAGGGGACAGUUUGUUUCAAGCGUUUGUUGGAGAAAGAAGUCUAACAUGCUUGUUGCUGCCAACUCAGUUGGAAUAGUAAAACUAUUGCAGAUGGUCUGACAGAAAGAGGAAAUAUUUGGUUCAUACUGGAACCUGUAAAGCAGUUCAGUUCCUGACACCAUGAUAUUUUGAUUUAGUAUCUCUUUCAAAAUACUAGGCAUAAUUUUUAUUUGAGGUGAACACUCGGUCCAGUGAUUCAUUCAGGAUUCGAUGAUUAAUGGAGAAUAAAGCAUAAAUGGGGUCAUGGUUUGUCAUUGCUUCUGAGGCAAGCAUCAAUGUCUCCUUAAUUUCCAUGCAUAGGUUCUAUCUCCACCCAGUUACUAAGGAUAAGGAAAUGGUGGAUAAAAGUUUUCAUGCAUUGAAGAGACUUUUGGCUGUGGCAUGAAUACAAGGAGUCAGUCACAGUACGUUUUGCUGUUCCUAUCCUUAUUCACAAACUACUCACUUCAAGAAUGCCUUAACUUCAACUACUCAGAGUUAAUUUUGUGAAUCCUUCCUGGCAAAUGAGAAGAGUCUUGAGUUUAUAAUUACUCAAGGUAUCUACUCAGUGUCUGAAGUCAGACUAAAAGCCAGAUUGUAUCUUGAAAAUUUGAUGGUGUUCUGUGUUCUAAGAAAGCUCAGAGUCUGAGACAUGACCAGAAGAGACUCUUCUUAUUGUCCUUGGACUUGAUAUCAUGUGGUUAUCUGAAGUAACCCUCAGACUUCGUGCUCGAGGGGACAUUUGUGGAGGUCUGGCUGAUCUCCCUCGUGGUGUACCUGCAUUGAAAAAACACAUGAUGAUGUUAAGAAACAAUUAGCAUUCACAUAAAUUUUAUUCUAUAUUUAUUUUUUUGGUUUUGAUCGCUGAGUGCGAAGGUCCUCAAGGGGCAGAUCUUUAUUUUGAGAAAUGUAAGUAACAUGUUUUCUAAUAAUCUUUUAUUAUCUGAUGAAAUACAAGUGGAUUUCACUACAAAGGAAAUAAGAAAGAACCACAUCAUUCAGUGUGAUUCACUCGUAUUUCAUCCUGUUAAUAAAUAUUGUUGAAAAGAGUGUAUUAUACAGUGUAUU
Molecule: RNA transcript, 4223 nt
Organism: Abrus precatorius (Indian licorice)
Lineage: Eukaryota; Viridiplantae; Streptophyta; Magnoliopsida; Fabales; Fabaceae
Gene name: protein SUPPRESSOR OF PHYA-105 1-like
Exons: 9
Source: RefSeq, a predicted model, not a curated record